RNAcentral lists this ribosomal RNA (1419 nucleotides) under metagenome. RNAcentral describes it as "bacterial LSU rRNA". It matches the Rfam family "Bacterial large subunit ribosomal RNA", at positions 1476 to 2925 of the family's 2925-position model. The record is from RNAcentral.
AUGUGGAGAGCAUGAGCCGGGAAAGGAAAGACCGGUGCAAGCGGGACAGUAGCCAUGCAGGCAAAUCCGUGUGGCAAUACGAAGACGUGACGCGGACCGAAAUAAAGUAGGGAAGCAUGUGAGCCAUGUGCCAGGAAAAGCCGCUAUAGAUCAUACCGUACCCGUACCGUAAACCGACACAGGUAGAUGAGGAGAGAAUCCUAAGGCCGACGGGAGAAGCAUUGUUAAGGAACUCGGCAAAAUGACCCCGUAACUUCGGGAGAAGGGGUGCCCACGCGAGUGGGCCGCAGAGAAUAGGCUCAAGCAACUGUUUAGCAAAAACACAGGUCUAUGCGAAACCGAAAGGUGAGGUAUAUGGGCUGACGCCUGCCCGGUGCUGGAAGGUUAAGAGGAGGAGUCAGGCAACGAAGCUCCGAAUUUAAGCCCCAGUAAACGGCGGCCGUAACUAUAACGGUCCUAAGGUAGCGAAAUUCCUUGUCGGGUAAGUUCCGACCCGCACGAAAGGCGUAAUGAUUUGAGCACCGUCUCGACAAUGCACCCGGUGAAAUUGAAGUACCAGUGAAGAUGCUGGUUACCUGCGCCAGGACGGAAAGACCCCAUGGAGCUUUACUCCAGUUUGAUACUGGGAUUCGAUACUGAAUGUACAGGAUAGGUGGGAGGCUGAGAAGCGUGGACGCCAGUCUGCGGUGAGCCGCUGUUGGGAUACCACCCUUUGAGUAUUGGAUUUCUAACCUGCGCCCGUGACCCGGGCGGGGGACAAUGUCUGACGGGGAGUUUGACUGGGGCGGUCGCCUCCGAAAGGGUAUCGGAGGCGCUCAAAGGUUCCCUCAGAAUGGUUGGAAACCAUUCGCAGAGUGCAAAGGCAGAAGGGAGCUUGACUGUGACACCGACGGGUGGAGCAGGUACGAAAGUAGGACUUAGUGAUCCGGUGGUAUGAAAGUGGGAUUGCCAUCGCUCAACGGAUAAAAGCUACCCUGGGAUAACAGGCUUAUCACUCCCAAGAGUUCACAUCGACGGAGUGGUUUGGCACCUCGAUGUCGGCUCAUCGCAUCCUGGGGCUGUAGCAGGUCCCAAGGGUUGGGCUGUUCGCCCAUUAAAGCGGUACGCGAGCUGGGUUCAGAACGUCGUGAGACAGUUCGGUCCCUAUCCGGCGCAGGCGUAGGAUAUUUGAGAGGAGCUGUCCUUAGUACGAGAGGACCGGGAUGGACAGACCGCUGGUGUAUCUGUUGGUGACCAACACCAUGGCAGAGUAGCCAAGUCUGGCAGGGAUAAACGCUGAAGGCAUCUAAGCGUGAAGCCCCCCUCAAGAUGAGAUAUCCCAAUAAGUAAGACCCCUUAGAGAGUAUGAGGUAGAUAGGCUUAAGGUGUAAGCAUAGUAAUAUGUUCAGCUGAUAAGUACUAAUAGGUCGAGGGCUUAUC